CUACGGGCCGCUCCAGUGGGGAAUAUUGCACAAUGGGCGCAAGCCUGAUGCAGCCAUGCCGCGUGUAUGAAGAAGGCCUUCGGGUUGUAAAGUACUUUCAGCGGGGAGGAAGGGAGUAAGGUUAAUACCUUUGCUCAUUGACGUUACCCGCAGAAGAAGCACCGGCUAACUCCGUGCCAGCAGCCGCGGUAAUACGGAGGGUGCAAGCGUUAAUCGGAAUUACUGGGCGUAAAGCGCACGCAGGCGGUUUGUUAAGUCAGAUGUGAAAUCCCCGGGCUCAACCUGGGAACUGCAUCUGAUACUGGCAAGCUUGAGUCUCGUAGAGUGGGGUAGAAUUCCAGGUGUAGCGGUGAAAUGCGUAGAGAUCUGGAGGAAUACCGGUGGCGAAGGCGGCCCCCUGGACGAAGACUGACGCUCAGGUGCGAAAGCGUGGGGAGCAAACAGGAUUAGAUACCCCUGUAGUC
Molecule: ribosomal RNA, 464 nt
Filed under: uncultured bacterium
Lineage: Bacteria
Description: partial 16S ribosomal RNA
Rfam family: Bacterial small subunit ribosomal RNA
Source: RNAcentral